This 253-nucleotide ribosomal RNA is filed under the name uncultured bacterium. Its description in RNAcentral is "partial 16S ribosomal RNA". It matches the Rfam family "Bacterial small subunit ribosomal RNA", at positions 524 to 776 of the family's 1533-position model. The record is from RNAcentral.
UACAGAGGUCUCGAGCGUUAGGCGGAAUCACUGGGCUUAAAGCGUGUGUAGGCGGAUCGGUAAGUACCUUGUGAAAUCCCACAGCUUAACUGUGGAACUGCUUGGUAUACUGCCAGUCUUGAGCCACUUAGGGGCUACCGGAACAGAUGGUGGAGCGGUGAAAUGCGUAGAUAUCAUUUGGAACGCCAAUGGUGAAAACAGGUAGCUGGGAGUGUGCUGACGCUGAGACACGAAAGCCAGGGGAGCAAACGGG